This 477-nucleotide ribosomal RNA is filed under the name uncultured Candidatus Kuenenia sp. Its description in RNAcentral is "bacterial SSU rRNA". It matches the Rfam family "Bacterial small subunit ribosomal RNA", at positions 365 to 832 of the family's 1533-position model. The record is from RNAcentral. Lineage: Bacteria; Pseudomonadati; Planctomycetota; Candidatus Brocadiia; Candidatus Brocadiales; Candidatus Brocadiaceae.
UUCGCAAUGCCCGAAAGGGUGACGAAGCGACGCCGCGUGUGGGAAGAAGGCCUUCGGGUUGUAAACCACUGUCGGGAGUUAAGAAAUGCAAGGGUAUAAAUAGUAUCCUUGCUUGACUAAGGCUCCGGAGGAAGCCACGGCUAACUCUGUGCCAGCAGCCGCGGUAAUACAGAGGCGGCAAGCGUUGUUCGGAAUUAUUGGGCGUAAAGAGCACGUAGGCGGCCUUGCAAGUCAGUUGUGAAAGCCUUCCGCUUAACGGAAGAACGGCAUCUGAUACUACAGGGCUUGAGUACGGGAGGGGAGAGUGGAACUGCUGGUGGAGCGGUGAAAUGCGUAGAUAUCAGAAGGAACGCCGGCGGCGAAAGCGACUCUCUGGUCCGAAACUGACGCUGAGUGUGCGAAAGCUAGGGGAGCAAACGGGAUUAGAUACCCCGGUAGUCCUAGCCGUAAACGAUGGGCACUAAGUAGAGGGGUUUU